UACGAAGGGGGCUAGCGUUGCUCGGAAUCACUGGGCGUAAAGCGCACGUAGGCGGUUUCUUAAGUCAGGGGUGAAAUCCUGGAGCUCAACUCCAGAACUGCCUUCGAUACUGAAGAGCUUGAGUCCGGGAGAGGUGAGUGGAACUGCGAGUGUAGAGGUGAAAUUCGUAGAUAUUCGCAAGAACACCAGUGGCGAAGGCGGCUCACUGGCCCGGUACUGACGCUGAGGUGCGAAAGCGUGGGGAGCAAACAGG
This 253-nucleotide ribosomal RNA is filed under the name uncultured bacterium. RNAcentral's name for it is "partial 16S ribosomal RNA". It matches the Rfam family "Bacterial small subunit ribosomal RNA", at positions 524 to 776 of the family's 1533-position model. The record is from RNAcentral.